Molecule: ribosomal RNA, 373 nt
Filed under: uncultured organism
Description: partial 16S ribosomal RNA
Rfam family: Bacterial small subunit ribosomal RNA
Source: RNAcentral
GUAGGUGGCAAGCGUUGUCCGGAAUUAUUGGGCGUAAAGCGCGCGCAGGCGGUUCUUUAAGUCUGAUGUGAAAGCCCACGGCUCAACCGUGGAGGGUCAUUGGAAACUGGAGAACUUGAGUACAGAAGAGGAAAGCGGAAUUCCACGUGUAGCGGUGAAAUGCGUAGAGAUGUGGAGGAACACCAGUGGCGAAGGCGGCUUUCUGGUCUGUAACUGACGCUGAGGCGCGAAAGCGUGGGGAGCAAACAGGGAUUAGAUACCCUGGUAGUCCGCGCCGUAAACGAUGAGUGCUAAGUGUUAGGGGGUUUCCGCCCCCUUAGUGCUGCAGCUAACGCAUUAAGCACUCCGCCUGGGGAGUACGGCCGCAAGGCUG